RNAcentral lists this unclassified non-coding RNA (7353 nucleotides) under Haliotis rubra (blacklip abalone). RNAcentral's name for it is "pro-neuregulin-2, membrane-bound isoform-like, transcript variant X4". The record is from RNAcentral. Lineage: Eukaryota; Metazoa; Mollusca; Gastropoda; Lepetellida; Haliotidae.
GAAUAAGGCAAACAGCGAGGAAACAGUGCACAAACUUGUGAAAGGAGCGUACAUACCUCAGCGAGAACAGGUUGGAAGUUGAAUGAGCGGUGUUUUAAGUAAAGCGGGAAGUAAUCGAGCGGAACUAGUCAAAGUUUAAAGCGUUAUAAUGAUGACAGCUGACUGGAUUACUUAUUCUAAUGAAGAAUAGGCGUUGGAUACAUCUAUCAUGCCUUGACUCCAGCAUCUGUGCUUGGUUUUCGUGUAAUGGGAGUUUGUUUAAAACCUGGAAUGGAUUUCCAAUACUGUGUUAAAGACAAUGUGUACAUUUCACCUCAUCCUGUGGAGAGAUCAAGGUGUCUUGUGCUGUGCUGAGACUGGGGACUGACGCUAUGUUGCAUCCCCUAAUCCUGGCCAUCGCCUUGGGGCCAACGCUGCAAGGCAUUGUGGAUGCCUGUGGAAGGGUUCCAGGCAAGCCCACAACUCCAGCCCCUGUCCCGGACACCACGACUGAAGCCUUUUCACAUCGGAAGCCAUGUACUGAUAGUGAAAAGCACAAAAAGGGAUGCCUCCAAAAUGGAGAAUGUUUUGCUGUACAUUUAGGUGGAAACAGAACACUAUCUUGCAAGUGUCCAGAGAUGUUCACAGGUCAGAGAUGUGAAGAGCUAUCACCUGAUAUCUUCGAAAAAUUACGAGAGGAGGAGAAGGUUGUGACAGCCAGCAUAGCAGCCGGUGUGUCAGUACUCAUCAUUUCAUUGACAAUGGGGAUAAUAUAUGCUGUUGUCAAAGUUAAACGAAGACGGAAUCGCCAGGAGACACGGCUGAAUGGGGUUCCAAAAAAAUGGAAAUCUUUUGAGGCCAAUAAAUGAGAAUGAUAGCCCUGAUGAAGGAGAUGAGUCAAUAACAGAAGAUGAGAAAAAACAGACACUUUUAUACAAUAACCACCUUUUAAAUGACAUACACAACUGCAACAGAGAAACAAAUGUAUGAUCAAGACAACCAGGGGUGGCCAUCUUGUUUUCGUUAUGUGACCUUGACCCUAGCAUUUAUCAUGUGACCCCAUGUAAAGCACACAUCAAGAAUACUUCAUCGUUCAUAUCAUUAUCAAUGUUGGCACCAAUACAGUGGGCCAUAUACAACAAGCAUAUAUGAGUGCCAUAGAGUAACAACUGAAGUAUAUAUGAUAUUCCGAAGAACAGUUUUAGUGUGACAUCGGUUAAAAGCCACAAGAGAGAAAAUGACAAGAAUGUAUGAAUGAUGAAUCAUCCUUAUGCAAUUUCCAUACUGUGCAACGCCUGGAAACCAGACAGUCGUGGAAUUCAGAUAGGUGGAAAGAUGAUGGAUAUAUGGCAACUACAUCAGUACACCUUCAACACAGACGACAGUACACAUCUUCCUGGAACAUGGAUUACCUUGUUUGUGAGCCAGAUUGAAAUCUACAUGUGAUGAUGCUUGUUUCCUUUGGUUGUGAAAUGGGCACGAGCAAGUCACAACAGUGAUGAUAGGACAUCAACAGCUAAUUUCUAGGUUUUGUAACCUACAACUACAAGCUUAGAAACAAAUGUGUUCACAGAUUCAUGGAGACCCUUCUUGUUUUUUGGCUAGUCAGUGAUUUUGUUCAGUUUGAAACCAAGAAGAUGGCACCCCUGUUGCACCUUCUGAUUUUAGUCACAAAACUGACUGGAAGGAUUGUGUUUCUGACGGCAAUGGGACAAAUGAAAUGCAUUGCCCACAGGGACUGCUCUUUCAUGGAAAAACAGAUUCUGUGAUCUACAGUUGGUGAAUUGAUUCUGCCAACUGGCAAGUGGCCAUUACUGUAUGUAUAUGACCUUUAAUGAUUGAUCUGUGUGACCUUUGUCACACAUGACAUGUGACAUGGUGACCUUUGACACAGUGUGACCUUGAUCUGUGACACAGUCCAAAAACAUAUCACGGCUGAUAACCUCUUACUAUCACGAAAUGCCUUGUUUUUGAAACAAGUGGUGCUUUAUGGACUUUCAUAUUUCAUAUUUAUUGGUUUAAUCUACUGAAUGUAUGUCUAAAUUAUUUUUAAGAGCAAACUAGGCAGAUAACAUAUAGUGAUAUGUAUCCAGAAAUGAUAUUGAAGAAUUUAGCAAACAAAUCUUCACGUCUUUUGCAUUAGAAGGCGAUGAAGUAACACUGAGUUCUUUUCCCAGUUUUAGAAGCAAGUUCUAGCAGAAAAACAUUUUUUCUUAGGUAUGUUCUACCCUUCCCCUAAAUUCUUAGAAAUAGUACGCAAAAUACUAUUGAACUUAUUAAACAGGCCAGACAUUUUUUUCCUUUAUGGUGGGUUUACGGAUUUGAUAAGGCAGGUGAAAAAAAGCCCAUGAUUUUUUACUUGGAUAUGUGGGUAAUAUGAAAAUAGGAAAUCCUGGUCUGGGUUAAUAAAUCUAAUAUCUGAUAGCAGUAUCUUAUUGGGAUUUCAUUAUCAAAGCAAUCUUAGCAAAUGGUAGUCAAAAAGCCCUGAGUGUUCUGAUUGUUUUUUCUGACUUUUCAAUCCGUAAACUAAGCCCAAAAAGAACCAAACACUGCAAGGCCUUAGCUUUAAAUUGUGAUACAUUCAGUUUGUAUACAUACAUUUUUAUGCCAGAUCAAUGUUAGAGCUUGUUUUACAACUUAUCAAACACACAUUAGAUCUGAAACAAAGUGGAACACUGAAGAACAAGCAAAAAUAUAAAUAUCUUUAUUAAAAAAGGAAUCAUCCAGAUAGUUUGUUAAAAUAUACACCAGAAAGGUUAUUUAGAAAAGCAUAGUUUCAAUAAAACAACACAUUUUACUCUCUGGACAUUCAUUUUCAGAAAGUUUGCAGGCUGUCAUGUUUGAUAAAAACAAACUACCUUUUGAUCAAAAUAUCUCACUGCAAAAGUAAACUCUUCUAAAUACUGUAAUAGAAAAGCUGUUAUUUAUCAGGUGUUUGUAAUACGUAAGGAUAAAUUCAUGUUUUAUUACUGUCAUGAUACAUUUAGAAUAUUCUACUACAACUACUAUUGGCCACCUGGCCAAAAUAUUGAAUACAUUCUGUUUGUUUAAUAAUAAACUUAGUCUGGCCUGAACUUAAAUGAACAAACAUGCACAAUGUCCUUGAGAACCAAAGCGUAUGUGUCAUUUGGCAGGUGAUAGUUGUACAAUAGUGCCAUACUGAUGUGGAAACAUACCAUGUUUGUUAUAGUGAGACCUUAAUAACAUCCUGAAUUAUGCAAGUUGCUUGAUGUAGAUAUAAUACCUGUCAACAUGUGAAUGUGAGAUUUUAUCAAGGGGAAGUCAUUUUAUAAAGUUUUUAGCAUAUUAAUCAUUUUAUUAGAAUUGUCCAUUGUUUAUGCUUGUGUACUCAUAUUGUUUGCAUAUCUGUUACAGAUUGUGAAAUUUUGUUUACCUUUCAACAAUUGACCAAACUUGUUAAUCAAGAACAUCUAUCUAUACAAAUAUGUAAGCAUGAACCAAAUAUUUCUUUUAUUCACUUUUGUGUGUGUUCUAAUCUAGAUUUGUGUUACUAUUCUUUUGCAACUUAUUCAACAUGUAAAAUAAAGGAUGCGCAAACAGUUCUUUAGCAUAGCUUCUUAGGUAUUUGAGUAUUAUUUGGAGCAAAAAGAAAAGUGUCAUACUAACUGAAAAUCCAAAUUUGCCAGUUCAUUUAAAAAAGCAACAAAGUAACUUUCACUAAUCAUUAGAAAUCUUUGCAUAAAGCAGAACCCACUGCAAGUUCCUAACUAUAUUCUUAGCAUGUUUUCCAUAAAUUACUCUCAUAUAGGGAUAAUUCAGGUGUCUACAAAAGAUAAGCACAUCCUGUCCCAAGGAUGGAACCCAUCACAAACACAUGUGAAGGCAAGUCAAUUGUUCAGCUGAAAAACAUGGAGAACAUGGUACAAGAAUAAAUAGGGGAAUGCAUCAGACAUAUGUUUUGCCAAAGCAAAGUUUCUGCGUUAUAAUGAAUUGUAGUUAAAUUGCAAUGUUUUAUUGUGGUUAUCUCAAGAUUAUCUCAAAAUCACCCAAAUGAUAAUAUCAAAGUAAACCAAAUUAUUAUUCCCUUGCACCGUGCAGACUACACAAAGUAACACAGGCUCUGAAACAUAAUUCAUCUUGAGCAUGUACAAGCCAGUAAUGAAACAACUCAUAAUUCAACUGCUCAUGUCAAACUUGAUGUUUGUUGUUAUAUUUUAUGCAGUUUGAAUUGUCAGAAAGCCAAACAAUAUCUCCUUGAUAUUAGACUUUACUAAAUGAAUAAACUUCAAAGAAUAUAGCAGUGUUCAUGUAUUUUUUCAUAUCUUUCUUUUUUGGCUCAUAGAUACAAUGUCGUGAAACGUUAGACAUAAUGCUAUUGUAGGGAUGAUAUGAUGUUUCAAAAGUACAUUAGGCCUAAAAAAUAAAGUUGUGGUUCCGAUUACCCGACCGACCCUUGAAUUCUGGUGCUGACCCUAGAUUUUUUAAGUGGUGUAAAUAAAAUAAGCAUUCAGAUACCAUUGUUUUUUCCCCGGCACCGAUGGACAUCGGUCAUUCUGAUAGAGAAAGUCGACAUGAUGUCAGCAAGCUUGAUUAAGUAAACAAUUACACAUUGAUAAAUGUGUUAUUAGUUUGUACUUUACUUCUAAAAUAAAUGUAAAAAAAUAUAUUCCUACCUACUCUAAAUUUUAAAGAGCUGUAAUCGGGAACAACAACAUUUUUUUAAUAUGGCCUUAUAUGAACAAAUUUUAAUAGGUAGGUCUCUAGUAGAAAUGUCAGUUGACUGUAUUCACAUGGCACAUUGGUUAAUCUUUAUUAUCAUUUUGAUCACAGUCAUGAAUCUUUUAUGCAUCUGUUGCAGCAGUUUGAGGAUGAACUGUGAGCCAGUCAGAGUAAGCAUUAUAUAUAGUAACUGAAGAUGUUGCAACCAGCAAGCAAACAGUAUUCCUUCAGACACAGAAUUUGGGUAUGUCACAUAUCCAUUUAGUGCUGUUUGAUGUAGAAAGCUGUUGUCAAACUACCAGAGGACUUGCUGGUAGGCCUUGGGUGGCAGGGUGAGCAAGUGGUUCAUACAGAUAGCUUGGGUUUGAUUCCCAGAUUUCUUGGUAUCCUGUGAUGUGUGAUGCCUGGAUCAUUGCAAAAACAUCCAAAAUCCACCCUUGCUCACUCACUCAUUCCAAACAGGCCUGCCUGCUGCAUAUGACCGACAAGUAAAUUUGGAAUUAAAUGAAAUUUCAGUGGAGUCUGUGUUACUGUAAAAAUUGUUAAAUCUUUUGCAAAAUAAAUAGUAUCUAAAAUAGAUAAUAGAAGAGACCUGACCUGCUUCAGAGAACAACCUAAGCAUGUUUCUUUACUAUUGCACCCAUCUGAUUCCUUCUACUAAAAUAUUUACAUUUGAUUUUAAGCAUUACUCUUGAUGAAGCAAGUAAGACAUUAAGUUUACUUAAUACAAUUUUCAAGCUAAUAGUAAUAAUUGUGUCUGAAUGUUUUUCUCAUAUUCUGGAAGGAAAGAUACGCAUAUUAUGAUAAAUAAACAGAAGGUUAGUCAUUACAAAUGCUAAAGCCUGCAGAGUGUAUGCAAUCUCUGGAUGCAUUUGUCUUAAAAAGGAUUUGCCUAGUUGUGCUUUCAGGUGCAUGCAGUACACACUUAAUGUAGAAGCUACACUGCCUUACACCAAUCAAAGGAUUGCUGAUGUUGUCAGCGAACCUUUGUGUUUCUUACAGCAGGAAAUUAUUACUUGAACAUGUCAGUAGGUUGACAGAUGGUUUCAUCAUUUUGGUUUGAGGAUGUAGCAGGUUUCCAAAGAAUCCAAUCAAGAAAUUCAUGUUGAAGUUUGUUUUUAGCAUUUUGUGAAUUAUUCAUUAGGGUCAUGAAAGCGGCCAAUUAAGAAAGUAUGCCUCACAUGAGACUUCCAUGUGAUAACUGUUGACAAUUGUUGAAAGUACUGUUGAGUUUUGAAAAUGACAGGUCUGUUAGCCCAUCGGUUGCUCAUUAUAUUAUUAUAGUACAUCUGUGUGUCUGUGUAACACAUACUCAUAUGUUUUGUAAGGACUUGGUUUAAUGUCAUUGCAGCUCAACUGAAACUUAAAGGGAAGUAAAUACUGAAACAGUACUUUUUUAAGUUUUUAAGAAGUACUGGUAAUGUAGUAACAUUGUAGUGAAUCUGUAAGGGACAUUUAAUUAAUCAGAUAUUUCAAAUGUUGAACUAAUUUAAUGAUGGGUACAAUGUAUGAAGUCCAUUUCUGGUGUUCCCUGCCAUAUUGCUGGAACAAUGCUAAAAGUGGCUUAAAACUAAAACUCACUCACGCAUUCAUUAAUUUAAGGAUUUCGCUAAUGUCAAAUGUACUGACUCUCGGAUAAAUUUCCUUGACAAUUUUGCUUAUGAUGCUUGUAGUGUUAACAUAUCAAAGUGGACACAUUGAGGUAGAAGGUAAUUUCAGUCAGCAGAACUAUUCUAUAUUCUGGUGACCAUUGUGUCAUCUUACCUGAGUGAUAUUUAUAUAUUUUCAUUGCAUCAAAUCCUUAUAACAGUCAUCUCAUUAGCACAUACUGAUUUCAUAUCAAUAUUAGGGCAGAUUAAUAUGUUUUUCCCAUUUUUGACUUAUCAUAUGAAUUAUUUUAUUUGCCAUACUAAACCAUAUUAAUUUUAUUUAUUGUUUUGUUUAAAUAGUGGGUAAUCAUUUGUAUUGGAUAUUAAACAUUCAGAUUCUGGUAUAUUUAAUCUUAUUAAAUUCCUAGAUUUAGUAUGUAGUAACCAAGUUUUUGUCCAAAGUCCAAAAUGUUUGUCAUUGCUCAAAAUGAAAAACAUGCAAACUUCAUACUGAAUGGAAAAUGAUCAUAUGCAGUUCACAGUUUGAAAUUAGUUGUGAUAAGAUACUCCUUGCCAGGUUCAUUUAUUAAAUUAAUUUGUUAUUUGUUGUUUAUUUGCUGACAAAUGAUAGGCUUGAUGUAUUGAUUUAUUUUAGCAAUAACCCUUUCAAUAAACCAUAGCAUUUCAUUCAGUGUUCGGAUCCAAAGUUUUCUUUAAGAAUGCCUGAAAAACUGCAGUUUCCAUUUUAAAUAUCUUGAAGCUUAAGUUUGCCAAAAUGUGAGCUUUUUUGAAAAAAUUUGUUGAAAAGAAAUUUAUCUGACUUUCAGAUUGAUAAUAUUACAUGUGCAUGUGUAGUUAAGAGAAAUAGUUGAAUGAAUACUUAUUGGGUUUUUAAGUCUGUUUUUGAUAGCUUAUGAAACAUGAGUACUAUCUACAUGUAAAAAGACAAAACUCUAGCAUUGUUACAUAUGUGCUUACAGGUAUGUCUGAUAUCUUGUUUUGGGGUUUAUGCUGCGUGUAGUACAUUUUUGAAAUGCAGUGAAAGAAUUGUUGAAUUUGUAAAUAAAAUGAUUUACAUGUAAAAAAUAAUAAAUUUUUCAAUGUA